RNAcentral lists this ribosomal RNA (422 nucleotides) under uncultured Chitinophagaceae bacterium. Its description in RNAcentral is "bacterial SSU rRNA". It matches the Rfam family "Bacterial small subunit ribosomal RNA", at positions 355 to 774 of the family's 1533-position model. Lineage: Bacteria; Pseudomonadati; Bacteroidota; Chitinophagia; Chitinophagales; Chitinophagaceae. The record is from RNAcentral.
UAAGGAAUAUUGGUCAAUGGACGAGAGUCUGAACCAGCCAUGCCGCGUGAAGGAUGAAUGCCCUCUGGGUUGUAAACUUCUUUUAUAUGGGACGAAAAAAGACUUUUCUAAGUCGCCUGACGGUACCAUAUGAAUAAGCACCGGCUAACUCCGUGCCAGCAGCCGCGGUAAUACGGAGGGUGCAAGCGUUAUCCGGAUUCACUGGGUUUAAAGGGUGCGUAGGUGGGUUGGUAAGUCAGUGGUGAAAUCUCCGAGCUUAACUUGGAAACUGCCAUUGAUACUAUUAAUCUUGAAUAUUGUGGAGGUCAGCGGAAUAUGUCAUGUAGCGGUGAAAUGCUUAGAUAUGACAUAGAACACCAAUUGCGAAGGCAGCUGACUACGCAUAUAUUGACACUGAGGCACGAAAGCGUGGGGAUCAAACA